Molecule: long non-coding RNA, 262 nt
Filed under: Ursus maritimus (polar bear)
Lineage: Eukaryota; Metazoa; Chordata; Mammalia; Carnivora; Ursidae
Description: lncRNA (ENSUMAG00000007108.1)
Source: RNAcentral
AUCCAGCAGUAUCAGCCGGAGCCAGCGGCCUGGCAGGACCUGGCCUGGUGCAGCCUCGGUGACUCGAAACGGGGAAUAUAAGCUGUGGGAUACAUGGAGCGCGCAAAGAGUGAGGCUUGACGACCCUGGGGGGGCCAGAGCCAUGAGGGAGGCUCUCCGCCGCGCCAUCCGCGUGCUGGCCCCGAGCUUUGCACCGACGAACCGGUGUUCCAGCAGGGCCUCAGCGUGAUGACGUAGCCUGGGGGCAAAGACGCAGCCUCGC